RNAcentral lists this ribosomal RNA (1502 nucleotides) under Synstelium polycarpum. RNAcentral describes it as "bacterial SSU rRNA". It matches the Rfam family "Bacterial small subunit ribosomal RNA". RNAcentral also lists the same sequence under 1 other name. The record is from RNAcentral. Lineage: Eukaryota; Evosea; Eumycetozoa.
AGAGUUUGAUCCUGGCUCAGGAUGAACGCUAGCGGCAGGCCUAAUACAUGCAAGUCGAACGAGAUUAAGAGGCUUGCUUCUUAUGAAAGUGGCGCACGGGUGCGUAACGCGUAUGCAACCUACCUUAAUCAGGGGGAUAGCCCGAAGAAAUUCGGAUUAAGACCGCAUAAAAACACAGGAUAGCAUUAUCCAAUGUUCAAAUAUUUAUAGGAUUAAGAUGGGCAUGCGUGUCAUUAGCUAGUUGGCGGGGUAACGGCCCACCAAGGCGACGAUGACUAGGGGAUCUGAGAGGAUGACCCCCCACACUGGUACUGAGACACGGACCAGACUCCUACGGGAGGCAGCAGUAAGGAAUAUUGGUCAAUGGAGGGAACUCUGAACCAGCCAUGCCGCGUGCAGGAAGACAGCCCUCUGGGUCGUAAACUGCUUUUAUUCGGGAAUAAACCUUUCUACGUGUAGGAAGCUGAAUGUACCGAAGGAAUAAGGAUCGGCUAACUCCGUGCCAGCAGCCGCGGUAAUACGGAGGAUCCAAGCGUUAUCCGGAUUUAUUGGGUUUAAAGGGUGCGUAGGCGGCUUAUUAAGUCAGGGGUGAAAGACGGUGGCUCAACCAUCGCAGUGCCCUUGAUACUGAUGAGCUUGAAUACACUAGAGGUAGGCGGAAUGUGACAAGUAGCGGUGAAAUGCAUAGAUAUGUCACAGAACACCGAUUGCGAAGGCAGCUUACUAUGGUGUUAUUGACGCUGAGGCACGAAAGCGUGGGGAUCAAACAGGAUUAGAUACCCUGGUAGUCCACGCCCUAAACGAUGAAUACUCGCUGUUAGCGAUAUACAGUUAGCGGCUAAGCGAAAGCGUUAAGUAUUCCACCUGGGGAGUACGCCCGCAAGGGUGAAACUCAAAGGAAUUGACGGGGGCCCGCACAAGCGGUGGAGCAUGUGGUUUAAUUCGAUGAUACGCGAGGAACCUUACCCGGGCUUGAAAGUUAGUGAAUGAUCUAGAGAUAGAUCAGUGAGCAAUCACACGAAACUAGGUGCUGCAUGGCUGUCGUCAGCUCGUGCCGUGAGGUGUUGGGUUAAGUCCCGCAACGAGCGCAACCCCUAUGUUUAGUUGCCAGCACGUUAAGGUGGGGACUCUAAACAGACUGCCUGUGCAAACAGAGAGGAAGGAGGGGACGACGUCAAGUCAUCAUGGCCCUUACGUCCGGGGCUACACACGUGCUACAAUGGAUGGUACAGAGGGCAGCAAGCUGGCAACAGCAAGCGAAUCUCAAAAAGCCAUUCACAGUUCGGAUAGAGGUCUGCAACUCGACCUCUUGAAGUUGGAUUCGCUAGUAAUCGCGUAUCAGCAAUGACGCGGUGAAUACGUUCCCGGGCCUUGUACACACCGCCCGUCAAGCCAUGGAAGUUGGGGGUACCUAAAGUAUGUAACCGUAAGGAGCGUCCUAGGGUAAAACCGAUAACUGGGGCUAAGUCGUAACAAGGUAGCCGUACCGGAAGGUGCGGCUG